UGGCAUAAGGUUGAGGUAGAGCAGAGCUGCAACUGGACCUUGAUGGACAUGGAGCCAAGCAAGAAAUGCCUUUUGGGUUGUAAGCAACUGAGAUUUUUAAGUCUCUUGUUACUACAGAACAGCAUAAUCCAUGCUGAUUGAUACAAGAAUUAACACAGCUGGACUUAGAGUUAUGAAGACUUCCUUUGACAUGCCAAGGCAAUCUAGUCAUUUACUGCAGUGGUUCUUAAUAGAGGGCAGUUGAGGCCCUUCCCGCCCCUAGAAGACAUUUGGCAAUGUUUGGAGACAUUUUUAAUCGCCACAACCGGGGGUUUGUGCUGUUGCUACCUACUGGCACCUAGAGAAGAGCCACCAAGGAUGCUGCUCAACAUCCUACACUGGGGAAGACAGCUGCCUGCAACAAAGAAUCAUCCGGAAAAUGUCAAUAGUGCUAAGGUUGAGAAACCCUGACUUACUCAUUCAACAAGUAAGAAGUGCGUGCCUCUUAUGUGUUCAUACUGUUCUAGGAACUGUGAACAGCUCGACAAAACUCCUGCCUUCCCAGAGCUUACAUAGUAGUGGGAUAUACUGGAAGCUGAAUUUGUUCAAACUCAGUAUUUGCCAAAACAAGCAAAUAAACAAAAUUCGAGUUAUAAAAACAACCACUUUGGAUCUCAAAGAGAGUUCAUCUUGAAUCCCAACUACGAAAACCACUGAACCAAGCUGUGGUAGAUGGACUUGCAUUAUUCCAGCAAAUUAAAUCUUCUUCUCAGGGAAGAACGUACCUGCUUUCGUCUUCCUGUGUCUCUUGGAGCAAGGAGGAAAAACAUGUGAGCUCCCAGCACAGCAUGGCCACUAACAGAGCAGUGUACGUCCACACCUAGAACUGAACCUGGGCCGCUGAAGCAGAGCACGCCAAACAACCACUAGGCCACUGGGGCUGGCCCUAUUUCUAUUUCUAUCCUUGUUUUAAAAAAAGCUCACUAUUUUGGAUGUUCUCCUUGGACCACGCUCGUGUUUUCACAGAUACAUGGAGCACAACAGCUUUGAGUUAAUCUCGCGUCACCCACUGCAAUGUUUGAAUAAAGUAACAGAAGCCCAAGGAAUGGAGGCAUCUUGCCUAAAGUCUUCUUCCCCAGGAAAGAGUCUAGCAUAAGGGAUGAUGAUACAGGCUUUAGACCCAUCUUCAAUAUGACAGAAUGGCUUUUGCAUCUGCUCUGAAUGAGGCAAAAAUCUUACCCUGUUCAGCCAUUAUCUACUUCCUUUCUCUUUUCCUGCCAGCUGGGACCCAUAUGUGAUGAUAGGAGCAGGAGCAGCCACCUUGGAGUCAAAGAUGAAAGUCAUGUCUGGAGGAUGAUGUCAUCUGACCUCUGAUCUGUUACAAGAUAGCACUUUGUUCAUGCGAUUGUGUUUUGAAAUUUGUUUGGAGGUUUGUUAGAGUGCCUUAGACUGUACCCUGAUGCAAUGUCCCUCAAUGCUCAAUUCAAAUGGCAUGUACUCUGGGAAGAUUUCCAGAUUUCCACCUCCUUUGGUCAUAUACCAAUCAGAACUGAUCACUCUUAUCCCAGUGCUCUCUGUAUUUUGAAAAUAUUUUUAUCAGCACUUAUAAUCCUCUAGUUUUAUUAUAGUGAUUUUAAUUUAGUAUCAGUUGCCCAACAUAGAAGCCUUACCUAUGCUACUGCCUAAGCUGGGCACCCCUGUCCUGUGCUCUCAUAACACCCUGUACGUCUAUCCAACAACUAUACUUAAAUUUACUUUUUUAGUAUUUAUCUUCCUACUGUCCUGUAUAAGCUCCACAUGGACAGAACCUUGGCUGCCUUUCUGGUAACUGUAUCUCCAGUUCCCACAGGAAAUCUGGGACAUAACAGGCACAUAGCAAAUGUUUGUUGGAUAAACAAAUGAUCUCCUUAAAGUAUGGAUUACUUACAUUUGUA
Molecule: long non-coding RNA, 1913 nt
Organism: Equus caballus (horse)
Lineage: Eukaryota; Metazoa; Chordata; Mammalia; Perissodactyla; Equidae
Source: Ensembl